RNAcentral lists this long non-coding RNA (495 nucleotides) under Panax ginseng (ginseng). RNAcentral's name for it is "long non-coding RNA (PGIN_LNC005533)". Lineage: Eukaryota; Viridiplantae; Streptophyta; Magnoliopsida; Apiales; Araliaceae. The record is from RNAcentral.
UUAUGUAAAGAGAAUACUUAUAUUCUUUCAGCUUAUAUAUAUAAUUGCUAUUACUUGCUGGGCACUCAAAUGCUCAUCCUUGCUUAAAUUAAAUGUUUUCAGUUAUGUAUGAGCAACCCGAAGGCUCAGGCACGAACAAAGGAAAAGGAAAGCUGAUCGAAUAAGUGUGUAUUAUGAGUUAAGGGUUAUAGUUGCAUUGGUAUCUAUUCAAGUAUUGUAAGGAAUGUAUUUGAAGGUCUCGUACCUGGGAAGUAAACUUUGAUUUAUGUAAAUUAAGUUUGAAUGUAAUAUUACUAUUGUAUUAUUUAGCUUAUAGAAAUGGUAUCGUGAAGCACUGAGUUCGGGUUUCAAGUACCCGGAUUCGGGGGCUUAUGGGACCGUCUAGGUAUUAGACACGCGCUACAACUUAUGGGACUCGAUUCCAACAUACGGAGGCCGAGUUAUCUCCUAGUUUGCAAAACUCGCCAACACUUAGGCAAAAAACCGAAAAAGACC